CAGCAGCCACGGUAAUACGUAGGUGGCAAGCGUUGUCCGGAAUUAUUGGGCGUAAAGCGCGCGCAGGCGGAUAGGUCAGUCUGUCUUAAAAGUUCGGGGCUUAACCCCGUGAUGAGAUGGAAACUGCCAAUCUAGAGUAUCGGAGAGGAAAGUGGAAUUCCUAGUGUAGCGGUGAAAUGCGUAGAUAUUAGGAAGAACACCAGUGGCGAAGGCGACUUUCUGGACGAAAACUGACGCUGAGGCGCGAAAGCCAGGGGAGCGAACGGGAUUAGAUACCCGCGUAGUCCCUGUCUCUUAUACA
RNAcentral lists this ribosomal RNA (301 nucleotides) under uncultured bacterium. Its description in RNAcentral is "partial 16S ribosomal RNA". It matches the Rfam family "Bacterial small subunit ribosomal RNA", at positions 509 to 809 of the family's 1533-position model. The record is from RNAcentral.